GGUUUAAAAGGGUCGGGAAUUCGUUUCACUCUCAUAGUUGGAAUAUUAGCAGUUAGGUACAUUUUCCUGCCUCUUCUGGGCAUUAUCACAGUAAAAAGUGCAGUGCGUUUUGGUCUGGUGCAUUCAGAUCCCUUAUAUCAAUUUAUUCUUCUGCUGCAAUUUGCCGUCCCACCAGCAAUGAAUAUAGGCACAAUGACUCAGUUGUUUGGAACUGGACAAAGUGAAUGUUCUGUUAUAAUGUUGUGGGCAUAUGCUUUGGCUUCGGUUUCACUAACAUUAUGGUCAACCAUUUUCUUGUGGAUGGUAUCAUGAGUAGUGAGAGCAUCUGCAAAUUGGGUAAUCACCCAAAUUCGAAUUUCACCUUCCCACUCUCUGUAACCAAGAAAAGGAGAAAAAUCCUGAAUGCUGAGUACCUGAAUAUGUUGAGAAAAUUAUUAUUCAAAUUGUUUGGAUUAUGGUUUGUAGUAAAUGUAAAACAAAUCUUUUUCAACACAAAAAUAGUGAAUAUUCAAAAUCUAGCUCAAGGAUCAUUUGGCUCCACUCAAU
This 546-nucleotide unclassified non-coding RNA is filed under the name Hevea brasiliensis (rubber tree). Lineage: Eukaryota; Viridiplantae; Streptophyta; Magnoliopsida; Malpighiales; Euphorbiaceae. The record is from RNAcentral.